CCUGACUCAGGAGAAAAGGCUGUCCCUCCGGAAUGCGUUCCGGAGGGACAGCCUUUGUUCGUCU
This 64-nucleotide small RNA is filed under the name Paenibacillus sp. P22. RNAcentral's name for it is "ctRNA". The record is from RNAcentral. Lineage: Bacteria; Bacillati; Bacillota; Bacilli; Caryophanales; Paenibacillaceae.